AAUCUUAGCGAACAUAGAAUAUCAGCAGCAAAAGCGAAAGCACUCGAACCAAAACACACGCUGACGUUACCACGCGCCGACGAUUUGUUCACAACUAACUGUAUCUGUGCAAACUUACCCAGAAUGUAAAUCAACGAGUAUAAAAACCAAAAGAGAGCCCGGGAAUAGUCAAGCAGCAAACACC
Drosophila grimshawi is the source of this 184-nucleotide long non-coding RNA. RefSeq lists it as uncharacterized. The transcript is spliced from 3 exons. Lineage: Eukaryota; Metazoa; Arthropoda; Insecta; Diptera; Drosophilidae. The record is from RefSeq and is a predicted model, not a curated record.